GUGAUUCAGUUAAAAACUGAAUUAACUGAAAUCAAUUCAACAACAACUGCCCCGGUGCUUCCCCGUAGAUAGCACCGCUGGUCAGUUCGGGAGGGGAUGGGACAUUGAGGAGCAGGACAGUCUUCAGGAAGCUUACAGUCUGCUUUGGGGUGUGAGACACCAGGCGGGGUGUGGCUUUCAUUGGGAGGGACUCCUAUGAAGUGUUACAGGGUUUAGAGAAAAAAGGUGGCUGGAAAUGGAAGAUGAGAGGAUCCUGGACAACCUGGGGGCAGAGGGACGUCAUGGCUCUGAGUGGGAGUGGAGAAGAUGGCAUUUUGGUGGAUGGGUGGAGGAAGAGCAUAGGCACAGAUGGCCACGUGGAGUGUGGUCCACAGAUAAGUCACCUGGUGGAGUGCAGCCACAGUGCCUGAGUCAGGAGGUCUCAGCUCGUGAGUGUAUCUUAGCUCAACGAUACACUCAAGAUCCUUGAGCUAGGAGAAACCCUAUAAACCACCUAAGUGGAUGCCUUCUCUUUAGAGAGGAGAGAGCUUAGGUCACAGAGAGGCUGUGACCUCCCCCAAGGGUGGUGCAGAAAGCGGCCAUAGCAGUGAAGGGGAAAGGCCUCGUGGCGUUGGGGGGCCACUCGCCAUAAAGGUGUGGGGGUCAGAGAAAGGGAAGAUCAGAGGACACUGGAACUUGACACUGAGCUGAGGAAUGAGACUGGGUGGGAUCAUUCAUAGAAAUUUCAUCUGAAGCCUGGGAAGGAAUUGUUUCAGGAACACAGUCAUCCCUCAGAAAUGGAUUGGGUGACAAGUGGUCUGCAUGCUGCACACGGGCACUGGGUGAGUGUGCUUGGAGCUGUUUGUCAGGACAUCAUCAGCAAUAGACAGAACACGAGGGAAGUAAUCAGUGAAAGAAGACGAAGUUGUUAAGUUGUUUCUGACUUUAUCUUUGGAGCGGGCUCACAGAACAUUUGAGUGGGCUUUUUGGUAUAAGAGAAAGAGCCCUACACUUUUGCCCAAUUCUAGUUCUAGGCUCCAAAACAAAUUUUACUAGGGUUCUGAACUGACGGGUUAGACUGUUUUUGUUAACUUUUAUUCUUAUAAAUAUUUUUGGCCAUUGCAGUCCAAUCAGAAGAAAAGUAGAAAGCAGGUCAUUUUUACCUUCUCUAAGAAAAGAAAUCCAAAAUUUACAGGAAAGCCCAUUCUUGAAAGUCCCUUGUGCUGCUAGGCAGGGCCUUUCGAUUAUUUUCAGACAGAUGUUGAACCUUCAGAAUUUCCUCCGUGCAUCGGGGUCACUGACUACUUGUGUCUAAUGCAACUCUGCACUAACUAGAUUGUGCGCCGACCUCUAUUUUCACUUUCAAACCUCAUAUUCCAACGUUGCUCAAGGUUGACUGUCACUGACUGGGCUUUUCUUUACGACUGUACUUAUGAAGAACAAAUGUACUUGUAAAUGUUUGGGGACUUCAAAUUUAGUUUACAAAUGUGUAGUCCUCAUUGAAGAUUCGAUUUGUAUUAUAUUUAGGCAAGUUUUCUGGCUCUUAAUGGGGUCCUAAUGAGUCACCGAUGGUAAGGCUUCAGAUUCAGACCUUCCUGUUAGGAUGGGGAUGAGCUGUUUGUCCUCAUUUGCCAAUUAUUUGGAAGAGAAAACCAAUGUAAUGCAAUCGGAAUCCAGUUGUAUUAUUAAGACCCGCAUUUGAAACCUAGUUUCUUCUAUCAGAAGUAAUUUUUCUGAUUUUUGGAUUAUGUACUUCUCCUUCAUAUAAAUGAAUGUUACUGCUUUUGUGGUGUUACCAGACCUAGCUUAUAGAAAUAAAUGACAGGCCACCUGGGGGUCUGCCCGUGCAAGCAUGAACUAAGCAGCAACAAGCAGUAUGCCCUGCGGUGACCAGUGUGUCAGCAUUCACAUAAGCCCGGGACAGUGAAUGCGGGCCCUUGUCAGUCACGGGCAUCAGGCGCAUGGCACUGGGCACAGCUGACUGCCUGUUGAUGCUGAUGGCUGGAUGGCUGCAUUUAAGUACACUUUCACAAAACUCAUUUGUAUCUCUUCCCGAAGAAACCUAAAUGGAAUUAAUUUGUUGGAGGGCUGCAAUGUAAAAUUUUUAAAUAGAGAACAAAAUGGAGUAUGUUGCUGUUUCAUGGAAGAGAACACGGGAGAAACUAGCAAUCUGUAAGCUAAAAAUUGAUGGCAGCCCCUGCCACAAUGAAUAAUUGGCAAUGCCAUUCAGCCUUUAAAGGUAUCAGAUAAUGAAUAAGCUGGGCAUAAGGCAUCUAGUUCCCUUCCAUUAUUCUCCAAUAGGUUAUGUAAUAAACAUCCAUCCCUGAAAGAUAAUUCUGUUUUUCAUUGUUCUGUAAGAGAAGAUAAUUCUCUCUUUUUUUAAAUUGUCCUGGAAGACAUUCUUAAAACACCUUGUUAACAAACUGGCUAAAUGUCCACCUACAGAAUUGCACUAACUAAAACCAAAAUUAGUCAUUAGAGCUGUUAUGCAUUUGUCAGCAAAUCCCUUAUGUCCAUCUCAUGCCUGACUUUUCUUUAACAAAACUAUGUUAUACGUAGAACUUAGCAGUACAGAUGAUGCCUGCUUUGAUCAUACAAACGGGCUUUAUACAUGAAUUGUAAUUUCCACUUUAAUUUGUUUUUGCGAAAUCUUUCCUGCAGUAUCAUUCCAUCUCAGCAUUCCCCAACCACCUUUGACAUUUUAAUCAAUUAUCCUCUCAUGUCUUGUUAGGCCACAAACGUAUGGGCUCUAUUUUUUCAAAGAAAAGUAUGUUGGUCACUUACAAGAUGGAUCCAAAUGUAAAAGAUGUUUUUCACGUUCUAGCGUACAUUCCUAAUUGUUCUUAGUCAAUGUCUGCAAAUGAAUAGUAUGUGGAAAUAUCCUAAGCCCAUGCUUGCUUUGUACAAAGGAAUCCUUUCCCCUCUACUGAAUGCUAUCUGGAUGGGCAAUGACGACAGUUUUUCAGAUCUCAAACACAACAGAACGACACACCAAGUCAGACAUGAACUAAACUGCAAUUGUAACUACUGAGGGAAUUUUUAUGCAGAUUAUGUAACAAAAAUGAAACUAGACAAAGUGUGAGAAAGGCCACUAAAAUAAAACGGUCAGGCCACGCUUUAGAACUGUAGAAUCAAAGAGUCUUCACCUUUCUAGGCUGGAGACGACCUUCUCACUCACGGACCAAACCCUUGGUGUGACCUCUAUUUCCCAAGAGAUGAGCCUUCAGGCCUGAGGAUCAGUGGCCUGAUUCUUAUAAAGGAGACGGUGGACUCACAAAGGCAUCACGUCAGUAUUUUAACAAGCUCACCUCUAAGAGAUGACGUUAGAUUUUCUACUGUAGCUUCGGGGGCUUAAAUAGACACUCCUUAAUUUAGAGUUAGUAAGCUCAAUCAUUUUGAUCAGGUACAGGUUUUUAGCAACAACUGUCAUCAAAACAGGUUUUCCAGUAGCAAAUGAAUUUGAUACUGACUAAACAUUUGGUAAAAGAUGACUAUGCACAUGCCAAAGAAAAGAGUGACUUGGGAGAGCUUUUUCUAUACAAAGAAUGGUUGACUUGGGGCUCCUGCCUCCCCGAUGUUCUGAUGCAAACCAGUCCUGUGUGUGGGGACUCUAUUUGCACAGAUCACAUAGUUCCCUGUAGGAAAAGAUACUCAUAUAAACCCACACAACUCCAACAUAGCUCAACAAGUAGAAUUUUAAAAACUAAUAUUGUAAGGGGUGUUUCAAAGAGAUAUGCUCAUUUUGGGACUUUUUAACUCUCCCCUCAUGUUUCCUGCCUUGUUGAAGAGUGGACAAUUUAUUUGGUAUUGACUUAGUGUGAGGCAUGCCCUAGACCCGAGGAAUAUAAAGGGGACUGGGAGAAAGCCCGGCCUCCCUGGAGCUCUUCACGUGAUGACAGGCGCAGAUCAGCGGACAGGCGCGUAACAGGAGGUGCUAAGUGCGCAGGUGGGGUCACGUGCCGCGUCACAGCAGUGCUGGAGGAGAGUCCUGACUCAUGGCCUGGGAUGCUGGGGUUCCUCCCCAGAGAAGCUCUUUUGGACCUGGGAGAAGGAGUAGGACUUUGAUACACCAUGGAGGUGAGAAUCCACUUUGGGAUGGGAAACCCACUGAGUGAGGUAGAAAAGAGGGUGAAGUAGAAAAGGUGGGAUUCGGGGCUGGGAAAUCCAGCAGGGUCUCUGUGUGCUGCCGAUGGGUUUGGAUGGUUCUGCAGGUGACGGGGCUGUCAACGUUGCAGCACCAUGAUGAAGUCUGGGGUGGAAAGCAGAUACAUUCAUGGAGGGGAGGAGCGCGGGCUCUCAGUUGAGAGGCGUUCUCAGCAGUGCUGCAAAGAGAUGGGGCCAGUCCUGAGCCACUGGAAAGGCGGGCGGCGAGCACAGAAGCCUUUCACAGGCCACUUGCACAGGCCUGGGUGCACUGACUGGCGUGGGUAGGGUGGGCGAGGGUGGCGUCCAAGGUGACACUGAGGUUCCAGCAGAGGCCGCGAACAGAUCAGUCUAUGGAGGGAUGUUGGGCAUACAACGGAGGAGCGGAUGUGAGAAGUCAAUAAUGAGUUCAAUUUAGGCCAUCCUGAGGUUCAGGUGUUGUAUCACAUACAGUUGAAACUGUGAUUUGGUGUUCAGAGGAAAACAGACUUUGAGAAAAACAGAUUUGGGAGCCACUGAUAGGGAAGGGAAACGGAUGAAAUUACCCGGGACCCUGUGGAGCUUGAGGACGGGGGGUGUCUCCCUCCCUGCAGAGCAGGUGCCUGGAGAGGAGACAGAGCCCGUGAAGUGGGGGCAGGAAAGGGCGCUGAUGGCGCAGAGCCCGGGGAAAAUGUCAAGAGCCCCAGGAGUGGAUGCCCCCAAACAACCGUCAAAUUGGUCUUGUGUGUGCGGUGAGGGCGACGGGAGGCCGACUAAAUACCUCCUGACUGUGCCCCUCAGCGGGUAGGAACAGAAGCACCUCCAGGGAGGGAGCAGAGCGGUGGAGAGGAAAUGCAUGCUGGGUUGAAUGACAUCAAACUACUCGGAAGCAAAGGAACAGCCUCAUGUUUUAGUCUGUGAGAUGGGGCCAGGGAGCGCCUGGUCCGGCAGGAGUGAGAGAUGCACACCUGCACGCGACGGCUCCACUGGGCAGGGAGAUAGGGUGUGUCCAGGGGAAGAGGCUGCCAGAAGCGGCCAGAGGAAUCAAGAGUUCCAACUCUUAGUAAGAAUCUAAGUUGGGAGAGAUGAGACUGUGGGCACAGCCAGGCAAAACAGGCCUCUCCACCACACUGGCCCCAUGCUGAGGACAGAGGUGGCAAGUUUAGAAUGACAAGUAGUCUGUGUGUGUGUGUCUGUGUCUGCGUGUGUGUGUGUGUCUGUGUCUGUGUGUGUGUAUCUGUGUCUGCCUGUGUGUUGAAGGGGGCACACGAGAGAAUUCCCUCAGUAAUCUGAGGGUGUCUGAGAGUGGAGACAAUGAGAAUGUUGCUUCCAUUUGCCAUUGGACAGCAGCUCUCCAGGCGUGUGCAGCUUUGCAGCCAGCAGGCUAUGUUGGGGUCCACCCCUUGGCUCCAUUCUUGGGGGAAGGGGGAAAUCUGAAAGCCUGCCAGAGAAAAGGCCACACAACGAAGCCCCCUGGCUAGGCAGCCCACUAUGCAGAUUCUAUAAGGGGGCAGUGCCUGCGUCUCAGAGGGUGC
This 5636-nucleotide long non-coding RNA is filed under the name Homo sapiens (human). RNAcentral's name for it is "HSALNT0338276". The record is from RNAcentral. Lineage: Eukaryota; Metazoa; Chordata; Mammalia; Primates; Hominidae.